UUUUUUUUUUUUUUCCUGAAGACUAACCUCAAACUUUCUUGAUGCAGUUUGAGUAUAUUACUGACUUUUUCAUUUGAAGACUACAUUCAUGACCGUGUCCUCCCAUUGUCCCCUCCAUACAUUUCCAUUUCUAGUUUUCUGUAAGGUCAAAUUGAUUAGGUUUAUGCAACAAGUAUCUGAAACAGAAACAUCCAGCUAAAUCAAAAAGAAACAUGUCUUUCUCAAUGGCUUAUCAAUACACCUAAAUUUUAACAUACAGAGGUUGUAAUAUAAAUCUAAACCACAUAUCUUCUGGCAAGAUACCAGCAUUCCUUGACUAUGACAAAUUCAUCAAAGCAAAAAAGUACCCCUGUGAAACUUGUUAAUGACAUGGCGCAAUAUUUUCUCCCCUAAGGAAAAGAAAAAAGGAUGUGAGCAUUUUCCUUUAAUUAAAAAUGAAAACUUUCACUAAAGUAGAAUAUACCACAUAAUAUUUUUUUAAGUGAGAUUAUGCUAUGUUCGUGAAUCACUACUAUGUAUAAGAAAAUUAAAUAACAUAAAAUAAAAUUAUAACAAAUGGGUAAUUCAUGGAUGUACAAUGCAUUAAGUUUAAGACUUUUUUCUUAAGGUGGUAACAACCUCAUUCAAUUCUAUCAAGACUCUAAAGUCUGUUACCUCUUUUUUCUUCAGGAAUGAAAGGCAAAGCAAAUAAAGAAAUCACUACUAGAUAAGAAAUGAAAGGAUAAAAAUAUUUAUAUUAUACAUAAAUUGUACCUUUUCAGAAAAUACAAACUAUUUAGAAGAGUCAACGUCUGGUAUCUUCCACAGUUUAUUUAGUCAUAUUAUUUAUCUAUACAAAACCAACUAUAUGACAAUACUUAGGAUAAAACACCCUUUAAGCCAACACACAAAGCACUCAAUCACUAUUCCAUAUACACGAUAAACUACUUGACUCUAGCUAUUAAAUUACUUUCUUUGUCAAAAUAAAUAAAUGCAUUUAACAGAACCGUAGAUACUUGGUCGGGAAAGUAAUUCAAGAAAUACUCCAGCCAGCCUUCCUGCUUUUUUAGCAUAUGCAUCAAUCUGGUAAUAUGGGAUCUGUGCAUGCAACUUUCUGACAAAACAUAUAGUCACUCUGUGUCCAAGAAAGGCUAGAAGCUGGCCAUUUUGUACAAUAAACCAGAGUUCUGCCACUCUGAGUAUUUCACCUCUUACAGCUACCUACUUACUACCAUUUGUGUUUACGCAGGUGACAAAGUUAUGAGAUAUUUCUUAGGAAAAUGUUACCCAUCAUUUUUUUUCUUUUCAAUUUAAACACAAAAAAACCUUACUGUUGAAAAUCCACUCAGCUUUUAGAAACUAUUUUUCGUCUGCGUCCUUAGGGUUUUACUCUAAAAUAUUUACUCCAAUAUAUCCAGAGCUUUGUUGGUAUUUUCAAUUUCCCACCAUACUAUUCAGAAGAUACAAGUCAUUGACUCAUAUCACACACAUAAAAAUGAGACAGCAGAAAAUAAUGUGGCUUCAGCAAAGUCACACUGUAGUGAGGUCAACAUCCAGUUACCAUUGCAUCUUCAUUUUCAGUUUCUUCUACUUUUUCAGUUAAGACUAAUCUUUCAUCUUUUCUUCUGAUGUUUUCUACUGUGCUGCUUAUAAGUCACUCUAUUCUUCUACAUAAUGUAUCUAACAAUUGGAAAUAAAGCACUAAAAGUGAGAAAUGGCAGUAAGAGAAGGUCAGCAUAAAUCAUUAAGCUAUUUGUUUAAGAACUACCUAUAUUGUAGAGAAUUUUAUCAAGAGUUUGUUUCCAUUUUUAUGCAGUCACUAAUAAAUAUUCGCUUCCUAAUUGCAUGUGAAGUUUUUAAUAUGAAGUACAAAUACUCCUGGAAAAACAACUCCUCCUUCUUUCUUCCCUCCCCAUAAUAGGGCUAACAUCUACUGUCACUCUAAAACACAAUGUGAAAUUAAGUGAAGCUAAGGAAGAGAAAAUGCUUCAGGACAAUUCCAGCUCAGUGUAGGAGGUGCACAAUUACCCAAUAGCUAAAAAAAGGGACACUGAAAAUUUGCCAGUCUUUUCAAAAUGUAACAUCAUAUGGUAGCAAAGAACUUAACAAGACAGUGCUGAAGCUAGUUUAGCAGCAAAUUGGUAUAUAAAACAUUACAUACCUGAGCAUUUUGCAGUAUUUCUUUGAUUAAGGGAGUUUUGCUUAUUUCUACUUUAUGCUUGCCAUCCCCUCCUUUGCCCUUCAUAUUUUUCAAUCUUAGGAGGGGCUCACAAUUUCUACACUCUGGUUUGUAUUAAUUUCAAACCACACUGCAUGUGAGAUGGGCAGUGGGGAAAGUCAGGUUACAUGUUACAAUAAAAAUUUGGUUGUCUCACAUCUCUGCUUGUGAUUUCUAAAAUAAUCUGAGUCCUAUUUCACAUCAGCAUCAGCAAUGAAUUUCCAUGAAAGAAAUAAUCCCUUCUGAGCCUGUACAGAAUACAAUCAACCUUCACUAUAUUUGCUGGCUGGAGCUACAAUUUGAAAUUGGUUAACAUUCUGCUGACACUGCACAUAAAGAAACAGAGCCGAGCUCCCUAAGUACUAUUUAUCCUAGUCUCUUAACUGAAAUGCAAUAAAAAGUGGGUUUGAUACUGAAAUAAGGUAGCAAUGAAUAUAUAGUGAGAAAAUAGAUCUCUUGACAUUAUUUUUUGAGUUAGUUUUGUUAGCAGUGUUACACUUUAAAUGAAAUAUGAAGUGAGAUGAAACAUUUGUUUGUAUAAAAUUUUCUCUCUCAUGAAUUGCAAAGUUCCUUGGCCACAGACUAUUUUGUUGGGAAUGUGCCAAUCAAAUUCUGUUCAAUGAUACACCAGCAACAAAAAUCAAAGUUCCACUCUAAUAUAUUCCCUGUAGCAUGGUUAGAAGGCAUGAGACUCCAUGAUCAACCUUUUUUUGAGGGGAUAAUCCAUUCUCUUGUAUUAACAGUGCUUUCCAUAUGAAAAGUUUCCGUGAGUAAGAUUAUUAUUGUCUAUGAAGGGAGAGGUCCAAAAAACAUCUAAGCAUGUUAACUGAGAGCAACAUAGGCUGUAUAAAAUAAUAUAAAAAAGAUUGCAAAUUAUUACGUUUUAAAAGGAGCAUCCUUUCACUACUCUGAGUGAUGAAGCAGUUCCCAGAAUAAAACUCUAGAAAUAGCCAUUUGCUGAUCCACAUCCUGUUAAACUGUGGCACAUCGCCAGCUGGUGCAUAAUAAUUUGCAGAGCACCUUAUGAACAAGAACAGCUCAGAUUCUCAGAUGGUUUCAGCACAGACUAGCAAUCCAUAAUAGUGCCAGUAGAACCUCUUACCCUCCAUAAGGAAUAUGCAUUCAUACUGCAGUCACAUCAUAACACUAGAUUACAAAACUUCUGAAGUAAUCUCUCAGCUCCUUGAAUGUAUAGAAAAGACAACAUAUGUUCCAGUUCUGUCCCAUGU
RNAcentral lists this long non-coding RNA (3426 nucleotides) under Taeniopygia guttata (zebra finch). Its description in RNAcentral is "lncRNA (ENSTGUG00000020554.1)". Lineage: Eukaryota; Metazoa; Chordata; Aves; Passeriformes; Estrildidae. The record is from RNAcentral.